GUCAACAAGAAGGAAAGAAUGACUGUUGGGAAAAAGCCAAAAGUAUCUGCACAGUCUUUUCCUCUUGGUACCAAACAUCCACACACCCCUCUGUCCCACAGCGUGAUAAGGGAUAUCAACCAGAAGACUGCAGUGAAAGUCGUGAAUCAUAGUGAAAGGUGCUGUUUUUCAAGCUGCUCUGACAAUGUUCUUCCCAAGAAUCAAGAGAAGCUGGACACCAAUUUUAGUCUUUGUAUACUAAAAUCACUUUAUCACAGCCCAGCCAGAAGGACCCAGAGGCUAGAGGAUUUGUCUUCCUCCCCUACAGUUUGGUGACUUGGAUGGGAUAAAACUUAACUGGCUGGAUACUGCCCAUUCCUGGACUACUGCAGCUGAAAGGUCCUGGACCCCUUGCAAAGAGCCCACAGGAAUUAAGUGUUCUUACCAUGUCAGUCUCCUGGAUCUCUGCCUGCAGUGUCCAAAGGAAGCGAGAAUGUCAUUGAGAACAGAACCUGUCCUUUUUCCUGAGGCCUUGCAAACUGAAGCUGGACAACUUGACAUUAACUUUAGAGAGACUCAUGUCUGUUGCUGUGUAAGCCACUCAGAAAGAUAUCUGAACACAUAAUGACAUCAUCAGGGACAUGUCAAGCUGCAAAAGAUGCUUCAACUGUGACAUCUAAAAAUCUUCUUAACUGGCUGUCUUCUGGGCUCAGAAACUGGUUUAUAAUUUGAUCCAGCCAUUAACCUUGGUUUUCUUUUUCUGUUUCCAGAAAAAUACUUCUUAUUAAAUACCUGAUGCUUGCUUCCACAAUAUAGGUCUAGCUUUUGGAGCCCACCUGCAUUACUACCUUCUAAAAUGAAUUUAAAUGGACUUAUCUAUUAUCAAGACUAAGAAAUAUGUUCAGUGAGAUGGAACAAUCUGCCAACUCAGCUUUUGGACUAUGAAGCUUCUUAAAGUCUAAUGGACUGUGCAACUUCUUAAAGUUUCAAAGAUGGGACUGUGGGGGAUCAAAAUUGGCCACCCCAAAAUGUGUCUCUUUGUCUUUAAAGAACAAAAGACUCUGAAAGAAACUUGACCUCUGCCCUCAACUACCCAAAAUGAUUUAAGAUAAUAAGCCUGUCCCCAGGACAGGACAUCACCAUAGAUAACUCUCAGUAUCAGUAGACUGUGAGGGUCCUUGCUAAGCCCAUUCUUAUCUACCAAACAUUUACUUUUCUGCUUCCAUGUGAAUUGCCUCCCUCCCCUUUGAAGUCCCAAACCACUGACCCCAACACCCUCCUUUGUCUUUACCUGAAGAUGCUAUUUAAGAUGACAACGUCUGCCAUUUUGUUGAGUUACUCAGUUUUCCUGGGUCUCUCCCAUGUAUACAUGUUAUAAAGCUUUGUUUGAUUUUUCUCCUGUUAUUCUGUUUCAUGCCAAUUUACUUUGUAGCCCAGCCAGAAGGACCCAGAGGGUAGAGGAUUUGUCUUCCUCCCCUACAAUAGUUACCUUUGAUGUUUUCCUUUCCUUUAUCUUUUAAGUCAUAAUUAAGUAUUUGCUACCCUGCUCUGAAAGAAAGCUGGUUUUCUGACUUUGUCUCUCAUUUAUCUCCUUGCUCAAAGUUUUGUAACCUUUGCCUUUUUGUUUCAGGUGUGAGGGUGUCCUUGAUCAUUUCUUGUAGGGGAGGUCUAGUGGCAGUGAAAUCCCUCUACUUUUGUUUAUCUUGGAAAGCUUUUACUUCUCCAUUAUAUCUGAAGGACAGUUUCACUGUGUAUAAUAUUCUUGGCUGAAAGCUUUUGUCUUUCCAAUUUUUAAUAUAUUAUUCCAUUCUUUCCUAGCCUGUAAGAUUUCUGCUGAGAAAUCUGCUGAAAGCCUGAUAGGGGUUCCUCUGUAGAUUAUUUUCUUCUGCCUUGCUGCCCUUAAUAUUUUUUCUUUAUUGUUGACUCUUGCCAGUUUUACUAUUAUAUGCCUUGGAGAAGGUCUUUUUGCAUUGAUGUAAUUAGGAUUUUUAUUGGCUUCAUGUACUUGGAGUUCUGGUUCCUUCCCCAGGUUUGGGAAGUUCUCAGCUAUUAUUUCUUUGAACAAGCUCUCUCAUUUCUCCCUGUCUUCUCUCUCUGGAAAACCUAUAAUCCUUAUAUUGCUUUUUCUAAUUGAGUCAGAUAUUUCUCAAAGAAUUGCUUCAUUUUUAAAAAAUCUUAGUUCUCUCUCCUCCUCCACCUUUUUUGAAGCAUUUCUAUAUUUCUAUCCUCUAAAUCACUAAUUUUGUCCUCCAUAAUACCAACUCUACUUUUUAAGGGUUCCAGAUUAUUUUUUAUCUCAUUAAUUGUGUUCUUCUUAUCUAGAAUUUGUGUUUGGCACUUUUUUUUGUAGUUUUAAUCUCCUUUGUGAAAUAUUCCUUCUGUUCAUUAAUUGUAUUCCUGAGCUUAUUGAACUGUUUUUCUGAUUUUUUUUGUAACUCAUUGAGUUUUUUUAUGACAACUAUUUUGAAUUCUCUGUCGUUUAGAUUGUAAGUUUCUGUGACUUCAGAUUGGUUUCUGGAGACUUGUCAUUUUCCUUCUGCUCUGAAGUGUUACUGUAGUUUUUCAUGGUGUCUGAUGAACUGACCCUUUGCCAGCGCAUUUGUGGUAAUAUCAGGUCACAGAUCCCACCUGCCACCACUGAGGGGAAGCAGGAGCUGUGUUUCUGAUCUGACUCCACCUGCUGGAAAUGGUGCAGGGGGUCUCAGCCAGGAAUCUAGAAGAGUAGAGGAACAAUUAUUUUUCCUCCCUCAAACUAGCAAAUGCAAAGGUACUUAGGAGGUAAUUUCAGCAGCCUGUUUGAGGAAUAACAAGGCCUAUGGCUGAAACAAAGGGAACAAAGGGAAUAACAUGGAAAAACGUGAACACAGGAAUGCAAACUCAAAGGAGGACUGAAGGAAGAUUAGCCCUGAGCUAACACCUGCUGCCAAUCCUCCUCUUUUUUCUGUGGAAGACUGGCCCUGAGCUAACAUCCAUGCCCAUCUUCCUCUACUUUAUAUGUGGGAUGCCUGCCACAGCAUGGCUUGCCAAGUGGUGCCAUGUCUGCACCCGGGAUCUGAACAGGUGA
Equus caballus (horse) is the source of this 3043-nucleotide long non-coding RNA. The record is from Ensembl. Lineage: Eukaryota; Metazoa; Chordata; Mammalia; Perissodactyla; Equidae.